GAAAACGUUGUUUGUUUGUCCAGUUGUGAUUAUGAAAGCGUGGGAUUGACGAAGCGUUUUGACGUCUGAGGUUUUAUUGGAGAGGAAUGUAUUGAUUCGAUGGUGAAGGUAGUGGGAAGUUGUUUCAGUGGGAAAUUCAAUGGAACUUGAGUAGCAGAGUUUGUGAACUUUAGUUCCGAACAUGGGGAGAGUUUAAAAUGAGA
This 203-nucleotide long non-coding RNA is filed under the name Nicotiana benthamiana. RNAcentral describes it as "long non-coding RNA (NBEN_LNC014454)". Lineage: Eukaryota; Viridiplantae; Streptophyta; Magnoliopsida; Solanales; Solanaceae. The record is from RNAcentral.